This 515-nucleotide ribosomal RNA is filed under the name Nematoda environmental sample. Its description in RNAcentral is "SSU rRNA". It matches the Rfam family "Eukaryotic small subunit ribosomal RNA", at positions 58 to 570 of the family's 1831-position model. Lineage: Eukaryota; Metazoa; Nematoda. The record is from RNAcentral.
UCUAAGCACAUGCCUUAAUACGGUGAAGCCGCGAAUAGCUCAUUACAACAGCCACCGUUUACUAGAAUAUAGUUAUCCUACUUGGAUAACUGUGGCAAUUCUAGAGCUAAUACAUGCAAAAAAGCUCCGCCCGCAAGGAACGAGCGCAUUUAUUAGAAUAAAAACCAAUCGGGUUUCGGCCCGUAAUUUGGUGAAUCUGAAUAACUUUGCCAAUCGCACAGUCCUAGUACUGGCGAUGUAUCUUUCAAGUGUCUGCCUUAUCAACUUUCGAUGGUAGGUUAUACGCCUACCAUGGUAGUAACGGGUAACGGAGAAUAAGGGUUCGACUCCGGAGAGGGAGCCUGAGAAACGGCUACCACAUCCAAGGAAGGCAGCAGGCGCGCAAAUUACCCACUUCCAGAACGGAGAGGUAGUGACGAAAAAUAACGAGACAGUCCUCUUCGAGGUCUGUCAUCGGAAUGGGUACAAUUUAAAUCCUUUAACGAGGAUCUAUUUGAGGGCAAGUCUGGUGCCAG